This 439-nucleotide ribosomal RNA is filed under the name uncultured bacterium. RNAcentral's name for it is "partial 16S ribosomal RNA". It matches the Rfam family "Bacterial small subunit ribosomal RNA", at positions 339 to 795 of the family's 1533-position model. The record is from RNAcentral.
CUACGGGACGCUCCAGUGGGGAAUAUUGCACAAUGGGGGAAACCCUGAUGCAGCGACGCCGCGUGAAGGAAGAAGUAUCUCGGUAUGUAAACUUCUAUCAGCAGGGAAGAAAGUGACGGUACCUGACUAAGAAGCCCCGGCUAACUACGUGCCAGCAGCCGCGGUAAUAUGUAGGGGGCAAGCGUUAUCCGGAUUUACUGGGUGUAAAGGGAGCGUAGACGGAGAGGCAAGUCUGAUGUGAAAGGCCGGGGCUCAACCCCGGGACUGCAUUGGAAACUGUCCCUCUUGAGUACCGGAGGGGUAAGCGGAAUUCCUAGUGUAGCGGUGAAAUGCGUAGAUAUUAGGAGGAACACCAGUGGCGAAGGCGGCUUACUGGACGGUAACUGACGUUGAGGCUCGAAAGCGUGGGGAGCAAACAGGAUUAGAUACCCCGGUAGUC